This 253-nucleotide ribosomal RNA is filed under the name uncultured bacterium. Its description in RNAcentral is "partial 16S ribosomal RNA". It matches the Rfam family "Bacterial small subunit ribosomal RNA", at positions 524 to 776 of the family's 1533-position model. The record is from RNAcentral.
UACGGGGGGGGCAAGCGUUGUUCGGAAUUACUGGGCGUAAAGCGCGCGUAGGCGGCUUCUCAAGUCAGACGUGAAAGCCCCAGGCUUAACCUGGGAAUUGCGUUUGAUACUGUUAGGCUAGAGUGUGGAAGGGGCUACUGGAAUUCCGUGUGUAGCGGUGAAAUUCGUAGAUAUCAGGAGGAACACCGGUGGCGAAGGCGGCGACCUGGACCGGUACUGACGCUGAGACGCGAAAGCGUGGGGAGCAAACAGG